UUUGAAGAUGAAGAAACAUUGCUCGAUUUUGGUCCUUGAGCUUUUCCCUGGAAGGCAGUGCACUCACCUGUGUGAUGCCCAUCUUACAGAAUCUCCACAAUUCUGAACUGACAAAAAGACCAGC
This is a non-coding RNA of Lonchura striata (white-rumped munia), 124 nucleotides long. Lineage: Eukaryota; Metazoa; Chordata; Aves; Passeriformes; Estrildidae. The record is from RefSeq and is a predicted model, not a curated record.